This 428-nucleotide long non-coding RNA is filed under the name Sus scrofa (pig). RNAcentral's name for it is "lncRNA (ENSSSCG00025032298.1, ENSSSCG00035012580.1, ENSSSCG00050067697.1, ENSSSCG00060053089.1)". The record is from RNAcentral. Lineage: Eukaryota; Metazoa; Chordata; Mammalia; Artiodactyla; Suidae.
CAUGCUUCUUUUUGUUAUCUGACACACCUGAAUGUUACUUGAACCAUAUAGAGCUUGAAUUUCCUUAUCUACAAGUGCCUCCCUCAGAGAAUUUCUGAAAGUAUUAAAAGAGAUAAGAGAUGCAAAGCAGUUAGCUCAGUGUCUGUCACAUUAAAGCAAUAAGAGAGAACUAUAGCUGUUAUUAUUUUGUUUUAUUUCAGGAGACUUCUUGGAGGGGGAAGUGUAUAAGCAGAUGAGAUUAUAAAGGAGUGAUCUCGGAAAACUGAAGUAAUAUGAGAAUAGUAUAUCCUAAGUAGAGAAGGAGAAAGUCAUUCAAGAACUGACUGAAUGGAAUCUAUCUAUUGUGUUGUUAAUUGGAUGGCAGUACCAAAGAAAAGGUUAAGCUUUCAGAAGAUUUGAGGAUAAUAAAACUAAAUGGGGAGGUACCA